This 39-nucleotide ribosomal RNA is filed under the name Crataegus douglasii. RNAcentral's name for it is "partial 26S ribosomal RNA". Lineage: Eukaryota; Viridiplantae; Streptophyta; Magnoliopsida; Rosales; Rosaceae. The record is from RNAcentral.
CGACCCAGGUCAGGCGGGGUUACCCGCUGAAUUUAAGCA